UAUGUUUGAAACUUAUACUUUAGUUUAAUUUUUCAUAUUAAGUGCAUACAUCGAAGCUAUGAAGAAAAUGAUAAAAAAUAUACUGAAAAAAUAAGAUAGAUUUAUAUGUUUUUCGUUUUAAGCAAUCAUAUUUUACUACUAUUUCAGCUAUUUCUAUUGGUAUGGCGUAGUACAUUGUGCGAUUGACAGACUAUAUUUCUGUACGUGACGAAUUCUUCUGUGUUACAGGUUACGGCCGUUCAAUGAAAAUUCCUGGCGUAAUAAAACCGGACACGGAGUGACACGGAGCAGAUAAAACUUCAACGAAAUAAGCUAUGUAAAUAAACGCAUGCGAAGGGGGAUAAAGAGGGUGAUACGAGAGUGGCCAGCGAAACGAGGUCAUUGGUAGCUUUUUCUCCCCUUCCCUCCCCUCCCCCGUUCAUUUUUACGCUCGCCAGCGGAGAAACCCCAGGUGAGAUGUUUGCCUGUUCGAGAUAAUUACGGCCACUAUGUAUUCCGUAUAAUCUCUAAUUAUAGAUAUAGAUAUAUUCCCUUAACGUGGCUUCAGUUCCCUUUUUUUUUUUUUUUUUUUUUUCCGUUUCAUCCGCCGCAGGGAAAUUCAUCUAUGAUUAAAAAGAUAGAAUGAUAUUUUUAUCGAUCGAUUUUCCCAUAUUAUUCCAUACGUAACGUAUUUUUAUUUUUGAGCUCGUCUCUUUUCGUGCAUUUGU
Long non-coding RNA from Apis dorsata (giant honeybee), 707 nucleotides. RefSeq lists it as uncharacterized. The record is from RefSeq and is a predicted model, not a curated record. Lineage: Eukaryota; Metazoa; Arthropoda; Insecta; Hymenoptera; Apidae. The transcript is spliced from 3 exons.